RNAcentral lists this ribosomal RNA (435 nucleotides) under uncultured bacterium. Its description in RNAcentral is "partial 16S ribosomal RNA". It matches the Rfam family "Bacterial small subunit ribosomal RNA", at positions 29 to 507 of the family's 1533-position model. The record is from RNAcentral.
AGCGAACGCUGGCGGCAGGCUUAACACAUGCAAGUCGAGCGGGCGUAGCAAUACGUCAGCGGCAGACGGGUGAGUAACGCGUGGGAACGUACCUUUUGGUUCGGAACAACACAGGGAAACUUGUGCUAAUACCGGAUAAGCCCUUACGGGGAAAGAUUUAUCGCCGAAAGAUCGGCCCGCGUCUGAUUAGCUAGUUGGUGAGGUAACGGCUCACCAAGGCUACGAUCAGUAGCUGGUCUGAGAGGAUGAUCAGCCACAUUGGGACUGAGACACGGCCCAAACUCCUACGGGAGGCAGCAGUGGGGAAUAUUGGACAAUGGGGGCAACCCUGAGCCAGCCAUGCCGCGUGAGUGAUGAAGGCCCUAGGGUUGUAAAGCUCUUUUGUGCGGGAAGAUAAUGACGGUACCGCAAGAAUAAGCCCCGGCUAACUUCGUG